RNAcentral lists this ribosomal RNA (473 nucleotides) under uncultured bacterium. Its description in RNAcentral is "partial 16S ribosomal RNA". It matches the Rfam family "Bacterial small subunit ribosomal RNA", at positions 28 to 507 of the family's 1533-position model. The record is from RNAcentral.
GAUGAACGCUGGCGGCGUGCCUAAUACAUGCAAGUCGAGCGAACAGACGAGGAGCUUGCUCCUCUGACGUUAGCGGCGGACGGGUGAGUAACACGUGGAUAACCUACCUAUAAGACUGGGAUAACUUCGGGAAACCGGAGCUAAUACCGGAUAAUAUAUUGAACCGCAUGGCUCAAUAGUGAAAGACGGUAUUGCUGUCAGUUAUAGAGGGAACCGCGCCGCCUUAGCUAGUUGGUGAGGUAACGGCUUACCAAGGGAACGAUGCGUAACCGACCUGAGAGGACGACCAGUCAGCGCGAAACGGAGACACGGUUCGCACUUCUACGGAAGGGAGCAGUAAAGAAGCGUACAAAAUGGACGAAAGUAUGAAGGGGCGACGCCGCGUGCAGCAUGAAUGCCCGUGAGUCACAAAUUGCUAUGUUGGGGGAAAAAUUCUGAUUGUACCCAAAGAAAAAGCACCGGCAAAUCACGUG